GAUGAACGCUGGCGGCGUGCCUAAUACAUGCAAGUCGAGCGAACGGACGAGAAGCUUGCUUCUCUGAUGUUAGCGGCGGACGGGUGAGUAACACGUGGAUAACCUACCUAUAAGACUGGGAUAACUUCGGGAAACCGGAGCUAAUACCGGAUGAUAUUUUGAACCGCAUGGUUCAAAAGUGAAAGACGGUCUUGCUGUCACUUAUAGAUGGAUCCGCGCUGCAUUAGCUAGUUGGUAAGGUAACGGCUUACCAAGGCAACGAUGCAUAGCCGACCUGAGAGGAUGACCGGCAACACUGGAACGGAGACACGGUCAAGACUCCUACGGGAGGCAGAAGUGGGGAAUAUUGCACAAGGGGCGAAAGCCUGAGGAAGCCAGGCCGCGUGUAUGAAGAAGGCCUUCGGGUUGUAAAGUACUUUCAGAGGGGAGGAAGAGAGUAGAAUGAAUAUCUUCAAUCAUUGACGUUACCAAAAGAAAAAGCACCGGCUAACUCCGUG
RNAcentral lists this ribosomal RNA (497 nucleotides) under uncultured bacterium. Its description in RNAcentral is "partial 16S ribosomal RNA". It matches the Rfam family "Bacterial small subunit ribosomal RNA", at positions 28 to 507 of the family's 1533-position model. The record is from RNAcentral.